RNAcentral lists this ribosomal RNA (447 nucleotides) under uncultured bacterium. RNAcentral's name for it is "partial 16S ribosomal RNA". It matches the Rfam family "Bacterial small subunit ribosomal RNA", at positions 29 to 523 of the family's 1533-position model. The record is from RNAcentral.
AGCGAACGCUGGCGGCAGGCCUAAUACAUGCAAGUCGAACGGCUCUUCGGAGCAGUGGCGGACGGGUGAGUAACGCGUGGGAACGUGCCCUUUGGUACGGAACAACUGAGGGAAACUUCAGCUAAUACCGUAUGUGCCCUUCGGGGGAAAGAUUUAUCGCCAUUGGAGCGGCCCGCGUUGGAUUAGCUAGUUGGUGGGGUAAAGGCCCACCAAGGCUACGAUCCAUAGCUGGUCUGAGAGGAUGAUCAGCCACACUGGGACUGAGACACGGCCCAGACUCCUACGGGAGGCAGCAGUAGGGAAUCUUGCGCAAUGGGCGAAAGCCUGACGCAGCCAUGCCGCGUGUAUGAUGAAGGUCUUAGGAUUGUAAAAUACUUUCACCGGGGAAGAUAAUGACGGUACCCGGAGAAGAAGCCCCGGCUAACUUCGUGCCAGCCGCCGCGGUAA